GACACCCAAACGAUGGUCGUUUCAGAAAUCAUCGGUCCUACGAUUGAACCCCAACCUGCAAGGACAUUGCCGACCACUUGGCCAGUCUAUGGUUUACCUCCCGGCUUCACACCUCCAGUUGAAGGCGCCCCUGGUUUUGUACAAUCCACUCAGCAGACGGUUCCUCUACCAACAAUCAAUGAAACUCAUCCAGUGGUCCACACGUUCG
RNAcentral lists this long non-coding RNA (208 nucleotides) under Lathyrus oleraceus (garden pea). RNAcentral describes it as "Pisum sativum (pea) long non-coding RNA (PSAT_LNC039390)". The record is from RNAcentral. Lineage: Eukaryota; Viridiplantae; Streptophyta; Magnoliopsida; Fabales; Fabaceae.